UCUGUACUCCCUCCGUCCCAAAAUUCUUGUCUUAAAUUUGUCUAAAUACGGAUGUAUCUAGUUACAUUUUAGUGUUAGAUACAUCUGUAUCUAAACAAAUGUAAGACAAGAAUUUUGGGACGGAGGGAAUACUAC
Non-coding RNA from Triticum aestivum (bread wheat), 135 nucleotides. NCBI's taxonomy places the organism in Eukaryota, Viridiplantae, Streptophyta, Magnoliopsida, Poales, Poaceae. The record is from Rfam.